UACGGGGGGGGCAAGCGUUGUUCGGAAUUACUGGGCGUAAAGAGCUCGUAGGCGGUUUGUCGCGUCUGCCGUGAAAGUCCGGGGCUCAACUCCGGAUCUGCGGUGGGUACGGGCAGACUAGAGUGAUGUAGGGGAGACUGGAAUUCCUGGUGUAGCGGUGAAAUGCGCAGAUAUCAGGAGGAACACCGAUGGCGAAGGCAGGUCUCUGGGCAUUAACUGACGCUGAGGAGCGAAAGCAUGGGGAGUGAACAGG
RNAcentral lists this ribosomal RNA (253 nucleotides) under uncultured bacterium. Its description in RNAcentral is "partial 16S ribosomal RNA". It matches the Rfam family "Bacterial small subunit ribosomal RNA", at positions 524 to 776 of the family's 1533-position model. The record is from RNAcentral.